This 109-nucleotide microRNA precursor is filed under the name Sorghum bicolor (sorghum). Its description in RNAcentral is "MIR5565 microRNA precursor family". It matches the Rfam family "MIR5565 microRNA precursor family". Lineage: Eukaryota; Viridiplantae; Streptophyta; Magnoliopsida; Poales; Poaceae. The record is from Rfam by way of RNAcentral.
GUUGUCGGAUUCACUUCAAUCCAUAUGUGUUGGUGUGGAUUGGGGUGGAAUUUAGUUCAAAUUCCACUACAAUCCACUUCAAUACAUGUGGAUUGAGGUGAAUCCAACU